GAUAUAUCCAUUUAUUACACUCUGGGUUGGGUUUUUUGUUGGUCUUAACAGAUUCUGAUGGUAAUAUCUGCCUUUUGGAGCCUCCUGUCACAGCAGAACCCCAGGCUGUUGACUAUGAGGAUAAUGAAACCAUUUCUGCCACAGAGAGGUCUACAGAGAGUGUGGAAGAACAGCAGGAGGAGGGUCCGUCAAAUUCUGCUGCGCAGAUGAACACUUUACCAGUUAAGGAGUUGUAUAAAAUGCAUCUUAUUAAAAAAU
Molecule: long non-coding RNA, 258 nt
Organism: Monopterus albus (swamp eel)
Lineage: Eukaryota; Metazoa; Chordata; Actinopteri; Synbranchiformes; Synbranchidae
Exons: 4
Source: RefSeq, a predicted model, not a curated record